This 507-nucleotide ribosomal RNA is filed under the name uncultured bacterium. Its description in RNAcentral is "partial 16S ribosomal RNA". It matches the Rfam family "Bacterial small subunit ribosomal RNA", at positions 29 to 507 of the family's 1533-position model. The record is from RNAcentral.
ACGAACGCUGGCGGCGUGCCUAAUACAUGCAAGUCGAACGCUUCUUUCCUCCCGAGUGCUUGCACUCAAUUGGAAAGAGGAGUGGCGGACGGGUGAGUAACACGUGGGUAACCUACCCAUCAGAGGGGGAUAACACUUGGAAACAGGUGCUAAUACCGCAUAACAGUUUAUGCCGCAUGGCAUAAGAGUGAAAGGCGCUUUCGGGUGUCGCUGAUGGAUGGACCCGCGGUGCAUUAGCUAGUUGGUGAGGUAACGGCUCACCAAGGCCACGAUGCAUAGCCGACCUGAGAGGGUGAUCGGCCACACUGGGACUGAGACACGGCCCAGACUCCUAAGGGAGGCAGCAGUAGGGAAUCUUCGGCAAUGGGCGAAAGUCUGACCGAGCAACGCCGCGUGAGUGAAGAAGGUUUUCGGAUCGUAAAACUCUGUUGUUAGAGAAGAACAAGGACGUUAGUAACUGAACGUCCCCUGACGGUAUCUAACCAGAAAGCCACGGCUAACUACGUG